RNAcentral lists this ribosomal RNA (336 nucleotides) under uncultured bacterium. RNAcentral describes it as "bacterial SSU rRNA". It matches the Rfam family "Bacterial small subunit ribosomal RNA", at positions 8 to 334 of the family's 1533-position model. The record is from RNAcentral.
AGAGUUUGAUUAUGGCUCAGGAUGAACGCUAGCGACAGGCUUAACACAUGCAAGUCGAGGGGCAGCGGGAGUGAAGCUUGCUUCACUCGCCGGCGACCGGCGCCCUGGUGAGUAACGCGUAUGCGACCUGCCCGCGGCCGGGGGAUAAUCCAUAGAAAUGUGGUCUAAUACCCCAUAUGCCGGUUCUCUGCAUGGAGGACCGGUGAAAGGAGAGAUCCGGGCGCGGAUGGGCAUGCGUCUGAUUAGCUGGUUGGCGGGGCAACGGCCCACCAAGGCUACGAUCAGUAGGGGUUCUGAGAGGAAGGUCCCCCACAUUGGUACUGAGACACGGACCAA